UGCUAUGCUUGUUCGAAGACUUCUUCUAGAAGAACCUGAAACAGCAAUGGAGUCUGCAACAAUAUCAGAUAAAGAGCAGAUAGAGUUCUACGUGACAUCUUCAAUCAAGAAUGCAUUUACAAGGAUAAUACAAGAUGUUGAGGCAAUAUCUCAAGCAACAAAUGAGCAUCCUUUAGCACUGCUUGCAGAACACACGAAGAAACUAUUGCAAAGAGAUAAUACUAUUUACAUGCCUAUCUUAUCUCAACGGCAUCAAAAUGCUGCUGCUGUUUCUGCAUCCACACUUCACAAGCUUUAUGGUAUCAAAUUGAGACCAUUCCUUGAUAAUGCGGAACAUCUGACCGAGGAUACAAUAGCUGUCUUUCCUGCUGCUUAUAGUCUUGAGCAUGAUAUAAUGCAAGUUAUCGUAUCUUCUUGUGCUGAUGGAACAUCAGAUGCUUAUUGUAGAAAACUAAACUUGUUCAAGAUUGAGACUGCG
RNAcentral lists this unclassified non-coding RNA (478 nucleotides) under Hevea brasiliensis (rubber tree). Lineage: Eukaryota; Viridiplantae; Streptophyta; Magnoliopsida; Malpighiales; Euphorbiaceae. The record is from RNAcentral.